GGGGGCGUAAAGGUUUCGACGGGGGUCUUGAAGCAUGAAUAGCGGGUAGAUGCGCCCGGCCAUCUAUAAAACGGGUAAAAACAAUAAACGCUAACAAUUCUAAAUUAGCUUACGCUGCUUAAUUAAGCAGCCGUUCUGCCGUUGAGUACCGCGGCUUCGGUAAGGGCGUCGAUUAGCGGUGAACGACAGGCGGGAGCUUUUUCCGUACCGCCGCCGUAACAGGAAAAUACCGACGCGGACAGUUUGAACGCUGUCCGCCCUUUUCGGGAAACUUAAACACCGUUCUGCACCCGGAGAAGUUUGUGUGAAUGGGCUUUCGGACAGGGGUUCGACUCCCCUCUCCGUGA
Molecule: transfer-messenger RNA, 347 nt
Filed under: Oscillospiraceae bacterium
Lineage: Bacteria; Bacillati; Bacillota; Clostridia; Eubacteriales; Oscillospiraceae
Rfam family: transfer-messenger RNA
About the family: Bacterial tmRNA, also known as 10Sa RNA or SsrA, is named for its dual tRNA and mRNA-like properties. Its role is to liberate the mRNA from a stalled ribosome.
Source: RNAcentral